RNAcentral lists this ribosomal RNA (429 nucleotides) under Gemmatimonadota bacterium. Its description in RNAcentral is "Gemmatimonadetes bacterium partial 16S ribosomal RNA". It matches the Rfam family "Bacterial small subunit ribosomal RNA", at positions 355 to 776 of the family's 1533-position model. Lineage: Bacteria; Pseudomonadati; Gemmatimonadota. The record is from RNAcentral.
UAGGGAAUCUUCGGCAAUGGACGAAAGUCUGACCGAGCAACGCCGCGUGAGUGAAGAAGGUUUUCGGAUCGUAAAACUCUGUUGUUAGAGAAGAACAAGGACGUUAGUAACUGAACGUCCCCUGACGGUAUCUAACCAGAAAGCCACGGCUAACUACGUGCCAGCAGCCGCGGUAAUACGUAGGUGGCAAGCGUUGUCCGGAUUUAUUGGGCGUAAAGCGUGCGCAGGCGGUUUCUUAAGUCUGAUGUGAAAGCCCCCGGCUCAACCGGGGAGGGUAAUUGGAAACUGGGAGACUUGAGUGCAGAAGAGGAGAGUGGAAUUCCAUGUGUAGCGGUGAAAUGCGUAGAUAUAUGGAGGAACACCAGUGGCGAAGGCGGCUCUCUGGUCUGUAACUGACGCUGAGGCUCGAAAGCGUGGGGAGCAAACAGG